Molecule: ribosomal RNA, 497 nt
Filed under: uncultured bacterium
Lineage: Bacteria
Description: partial 16S ribosomal RNA
Rfam family: Bacterial small subunit ribosomal RNA
Source: RNAcentral
GAUGAACGCUGGCGGCGUGCCUAAUACAUGCAAGUCGAGCGAACAGAUGAGGAUCUUGCUCCUCUGACAUUAGCGGCGGACGGGAGCGUAACACGUAGAUAACCUACAUAUAAGACUGGGAUAACUUCGGGAAACCGGAGCUCAUACCGGAUAAUAUAUUCAACCGCAUGGUUCAAUAGUGAAAGACGGUUUUGCUGUCCUUUAUAGAUGGUUCCCCUGCUCCUUAGCUAGUUGGUUAGGUAACGGUUUACCAAGGCAACGAUGCGUAGGCGGCAUGAGGGGGAUAUGGGCCCGACCGGAACUGAGACACGGUCCCGACUCCUACGGGAUGCAGCCGUAGCGCAUACUCGGCGAUGGGCGGAAGCCUGUUGGAGCAAGGCCGCGUGAGUGAUGAAGGUCUUCGGUUCGUAAAAAGCUGUUAUUAGGGAAGAACAAAUGUGUAAGUAACUAUGCACGUCGUGACGGUACCUACACAAAAAGCCACGGCUAACUACGUG